This 2997-nucleotide ribosomal RNA is filed under the name Triticum aestivum (bread wheat). RNAcentral describes it as "partial small subunit ribosomal RNA". Lineage: Eukaryota; Viridiplantae; Streptophyta; Magnoliopsida; Poales; Poaceae. The record is from RNAcentral.
AUGGCAAGCAUACUAGAUUAUCUUGUCAAAUCAUGUGCCAAGAAGUUGGAAGCUAUCAUUACGGAUGAGGCAGUUCUGAUUCUAGGAGUACAAGAAGACCUCAAACAAAUGCAGCGAACAAUGACCCAGAUACAAUGCUUUCUCGAUGAUGCCGAACAAAGGGGAACACAAGAGUCAGCAGUUAAUAACUGGCUUGGUGAGCUGAGAGGUGCUAUGUAUUAUGCCGACGAUAUUGUCGACUUGGCGAGAUCUGAAGGCGGAAAGCUUCUACUGGAAUGGGAUCCUUCAUCGUCAUCAAGAAAGGCAACUACAUGCAGUGGCCUUCCGUUUCUCAAUUGCAUCUCUCCUAUUCAGAAGCGUCACAAGAUUGGUGUUCAAAUCCGGGACUUCAAUACUCAACUUGACAAGAUUUCAAACUUGGGUGAAAGAUUUCUCAAGCUUGCAAAUAUGCAGCCUAAACCACAAGUUCUGACUGUGAAGCAUAUAAGAACUAGCCACCUUGUGGAGCCUAAUCUUGUGGGAAAGGAAACUUUACACGCUUGCAAAAGUUUGGUUGAACUGGUUAUUGCACACAAGGGAAAGAAGCCAUACAAGGUUGGUAUUGUUGGAACAGGAGGGAUUGGGAAGACAACUCUAGCCCAAAAAGUAUAUAAUGACCGAGAAUUAAAAGGAACCUUUAGCAACCAAGCAUGGAUAUGUGUUUCUCAGGAGUACUCUGAAAUAUCUCUUUUGAAGGAAGUCCUGCGGAAUUUUGGGGUACCCCAUGAGCAAGAUGAAACUGUGGGAGAGCUCAGCAGCAAGCUUGCAGUCGCCAUCACAGAUAAAAGUUUCUUCAUUGUGUUGGACGAUGUUUGGCAGCCUGCGGUCUGGACCAAUUUACUGAGAACUCCAUUACAUGCUGCUGCAACAGGAGUAAUUCUAGUGACCACUCGGCAUGAUACAGUUGCACAUGCAAUUGGCGUAGAAGAUGUGCAUCGAGUUGAAUUGAUGUCAGCAGAUAUAGGGUGGGAGCUGCUUUGGAAGAGUAUGAACAUUGAUGAAGAAAGAGAUGUGGAAAGCCUUCGGAAUAUAGGGGUAGAAAUUGUCCAUAAAUGUGGCAGACUUCCCCUCGCAAUCAAGGUUACUGCUAGUAUUCUAGCAACUAAAGAGAAAAGUGAGAGAGAAUGGAGAAAGGUUGCAAAAAGAAGUGCUUGGUCUAGGGGUAAUCUUCCUACUGAGCUCAGAGGUGCCCUGUAUUUGAGUUAUGAUGAUCUACCACGGUAUCUGAAGCAAUGUUUCCUCUAUGUAGCCUCAUAUCCAGAAGAUUGCCGCAUGAGUCGUGAUGAUCUUAUCAGGUUCUGGGUAGCUGAAGGUUAUGUGGAGGAGCAUGAAGAACAACUUCAAGAAGAUACAGCCGAAGAAUAUUACUAUGAGUUGAUACAUAGGAACCUCCUACAACCAGACCAUUUCUAUGCAGACCGUAGUUGGUGCAAGAUGCAUGAUCUUUUAAGGCAGCUUGCUCAACAUAUAUCUGGAGAAGAAAGUUUUUGUGGAGAUCCACAAUCACUGGGGCCUACAACUUUGUCCAAGCUAAGACAUGUUUCAGUCGUCACUAACAAGGAUUAUGUAGCACUGCCCAAUAUGGACAAAGUGAUGAUCAGAGCAAGGACACUGUUGAUUUUUUCCAUCAAGAGAUCAAGUGUUGAGAAUACAAUUUUCAGGAGACUUUCAUGCAUUCGUGUUUUAGAUCUGACUAAUUCAUCGAUUCAAAGCAUUCCAGAUAGCAUUGGAAGUUUGAUCCAUCUAAGACUGCUUGAUAUUAAUGAUACAAACACAUCUUAUCUUUCGGAGUCCAUCGGUUCCCUCAUGAACCUUCAGACACUGAACCUGGAAAGGUGCAAAGCUCUGCACAGUCUUCCUUUGGCGAUCACUGAAUUGUGCAAUCUAAGGCGCCUUGGUCUGACUAGUACUCCAAUAAAUCAGGUUCCAAAAGGUAUUGGCAGAUUAGAGUUCCUCAAUGAUUUAGGAGGAUUUCCUAUUAGUGGUGGAAGUGACAAUGGAAAAACACAAGAUGGAUGGAAGUUGGAAGAGUUGGAACAUCUCUCACAGCUAAGGCAGCUUGCUAUGAUUAACUUGGAAAGAGCAACUCCUCGUACUAGACAUUCAUUGCUAGCAGACAAGAAAUACCUCAAACGUUUGAGACUAUAUUGCAGAGUUACAUAUGAACCAGAUACAGAAGAUGUUGAAAAUAUUGAGAAGGUCUUUGAGCAGCUAAGCCCUUCACACAACCUAGAAUAUCUAGUCAUUGAUGGAUUCUUUGGCCGGCGGUAUCCCACAUGGCUUGGUACCACCCAUGUGUCGUCACUUGUAUACUUGACACUCAGAGAUUGCAAUUCAUGUGUACAUCUUCCAUCAAUCGGGCAGCUGCCCAGCUUGAGAUAUCUGAAAAUUCAUGGAGCAGCAGCAGUUACAAAGAUUGGACCCGAAUUUGUUAGCUGCAGGGGGGCUAAUCCCACAUCCACGGAUGCAGUUGUUGCUUUCCCCAAGCUUGAAACAUUGAGAAUUCAGGAUAUGCCCAGCUGGGAGGAAUGGUCCUUUGUUGAAGAAGGGGAAGAGGAUGGAUAUGUUGAGAUGCGAAAGGGGGGAGCCUUGUCUCCAAAGAUGCAGAUGCUGCCAUGCUUAAAAUUGCUGAUACUUGAAGGCUGCCCCAAGCUGAGAGCUCUCCCGCAACAGCUUGGACAGGAGGCAACCAGCUUGAAAUCCCUCUAUUUAAAAGGAGCAAGCUGCUUGAAGGUUUUGGAGGACUUCCCGUUCCUCUCUGAGAUGCUUGUGAUCGCUGGAUGCCAAGUCCUGGAGAGGGUUUCAAACCUUACUAAACUGAGAGAGCUCCGUGUGACAGGUUCUCCAAACUUGAACCUAAAGUUUGUUGAGGGAUUGCGUUUGCAGCAGCUGUGGCUGGAUGCACAACAUCUCUACCCCGUUGGCGCCGGGGCUUCAAGAGCAGCAGAGGAAACUUAA